GCCAGUGUGGUUUAGUGGUCUGAGCGUUGGACUAUGGCUCUAAAGACCAGGGUUUGAAAUCCAGCUCAGCCA
Molecule: non-coding RNA, 72 nt
Organism: Phrynosoma platyrhinos (Desert horned lizard)
Lineage: Eukaryota; Metazoa; Chordata; Lepidosauria; Squamata; Phrynosomatidae
Source: the annotation of a GenBank genome assembly